Molecule: ribosomal RNA, 253 nt
Filed under: uncultured bacterium
Lineage: Bacteria
Description: partial 16S ribosomal RNA
Rfam family: Bacterial small subunit ribosomal RNA
Source: RNAcentral
UACAGAGGUCCCAAGCGUUGUUCGGAUUCACUGGGCGUAAAGGGUGCGUAGGUGGUGAAGUAAGUCGGAUGUGAAAUCUCGGAGCUUAACUCCGAAACUGCAUUGGAAACUACUUUGCUCGAGGGUUGGAGGGGGGACUGGAAUUCUCGGUGUAGCAGUGAAAUGCGUAGAUAUCGGGAGGAAUACCGAUGGCGAAGGCAGGUCUCUGGGCUGACACUGACGCUCAUGCACGAAAGCGUGGGGAGCAAACAGG